RNAcentral lists this ribosomal RNA (619 nucleotides) under Providencia rettgeri. Its description in RNAcentral is "partial 23S ribosomal RNA". It matches the Rfam family "Bacterial large subunit ribosomal RNA", at positions 612 to 1230 of the family's 2925-position model. The record is from RNAcentral. Lineage: Bacteria; Pseudomonadati; Pseudomonadota; Gammaproteobacteria; Enterobacterales; Morganellaceae.
AUAAUGGGUCAGCGACUUAUAUUCUGUAGCAAGGUUAACCGUAUAGGGGAGCCGUAGGGAAACCGAGUCUUAACUGGGCGAAUGAGUUGCAGGGUAUAGACCCGAAACCCGGUGAUCUAGCCAUGGGCAGGUUGAAGGUUGGGUAACACUAACUGGAGGACCGAACCGACUAAUGUUGAAAAAUUAGCGGAUGACUUGUGGCUGGGGGUGAAAGGCCAAUCAAACCGGGAGAUAGCUGGUUCUCCCCGAAAGCUAUUUAGGUAGCGCCUCGUGAACUCAUCUUCGGGGGUAGAGCACUGUUUCGACUAGGGGGUCAUCCCGACUUACCAACUCGAUGCAAACUACGAAUACCGAAGAAUGUUAUCACGGGAGACACACGGCGGGUGCUAACGUUCGUCGUGAAGAGGGAAACAACCCAGACCGCCAGCUAAGGUCCCAAAGUCAUAGUUAAGUGGGAAACGAAGUGGGAAGGCUCAGACAGCCAGGAUGUUGGCUUAGAAGCAGCCAUCAUUUAAAGAAAGCGUAAUAGCUCACUGGUCGAGUCGGCCUGCGCGGAAGAUGUAACGGGGCUAAACUAUGCACCGAAGCUGCGGCAGCGAUAUGUAAAUAUUGUUGGGUA